GGCGGGUUAGCUCAGCUUUUUAGAGCGUGGUGCUAAUAACGCCAAGGUCGCCGGUUCGAUCCCCAUACUGGCCA
RNAcentral lists this transfer RNA (74 nucleotides) under Danio rerio (zebrafish). It matches the Rfam family "tRNA". Rfam says of the family: Transfer RNA (tRNA) molecules are approximately 80 nucleotides in length. Their secondary structure includes four short double-helical elements and three loops (D, anti-codon, and T loops). The record is from Rfam by way of RNAcentral. Lineage: Eukaryota; Metazoa; Chordata; Actinopteri; Cypriniformes; Danionidae.